AACAGGAUUAGAUACCCUGGUAGUCCAUGCCGUAAACGUUGGGAACUAGAUGUGGGGACCAUUCCACGGUCUCCGUGUCGUAGCUAACGCAUUAAGUUCCCCGCCUGGGGAGUACGGCCGCAAGGCUAAAACUCAAAGGAAUUGACGGGGGCCCGCACAAGCGGCGGAGCAUGCGGAUUAAUUCGAUGCAACGCGAAGAACCUUACCAAGGCUUGACAUAUACGAGAACGCACUGGAGACAGUGAACUCUUUGGACACUCGUAUACAGGUGGUGCAUGGUUGUCGUCAGCUCGUGUCGUGAGAUGUUGGGUUAAGUCCCGCAACGAGCGCAACCCUCGUCCUAUGUUGCCAGCACGUAAUGGUGGGAACUCAUGGGAUACUGCCGGGGUCAACUCGGAGGAAGGUGGGGAUGAGGUCAAAUCAUCAUGCCCCUUAUGUCUUGGGCUUCACGCAUGCUACAAUGGCCGGUACAAUGGGCUGCGAUACCGUAAGGUGGAGCGAAUCCCAAAAAGCCGGUCUCAGUUCGGAUUGAGGUCUGCAACUCGACCUCAUGAAGUCGGAGUCGCUAGUAAUCGUAGAUCAGCAACGCUACGGUGAAUACGUUCCCGGGCCUUGUACACACCGCCCGUCAAGUCAUGAAAGUCGGUAACACCCGAAGCCAGUGGCCUAACCUUUUGGAGGGAGCUGUCGAAGGUGGGAUCGGUGAUUAGGACUAAGUCGUAACAAGGUAACC
Molecule: ribosomal RNA, 733 nt
Filed under: uncultured bacterium
Lineage: Bacteria
Description: bacterial SSU rRNA
Rfam family: Bacterial small subunit ribosomal RNA
Source: RNAcentral